GUUUCCCUCUGUGGUUUCCACAGAUUCACGUACAACUGUCAGAAUUGGUAAAUAAACUGUCAUUAUUGACCCUUUCACAAAGCUCUGCAUUGCAUGGCUGUACAUUCAUGCCAUUUAAAGAUACUUAGGAACAUAACUACUGCAUCCUUUGCAGGAGAAAGAAGGCUGUUUUAAAAAAGAGGAAAUUAGAGUGAAUGGUUUGUAGCUACAGAAUAAAGGUUUCAGCACAGUUCCAGCCAAAUUUCAAGAGCAAAGAACAACACAAAAGGAAGCAAAUGAAAAUAAAACUACUACAGGGAAGAUAAAACAGGCAAAUAAUAAACAAGGCAUAAGAGACAUCAACAGACUGAGAAAAUAAUUACUUCAUGUUGCUCUUAAAGUUCAAAUGAAUAACAGCUGUUGGCACGGUUUUGCUUUUUAUAAAUAAUAUUAUUUAUUUUUUAAAUGACAAUGAUUAUAUACAAUGUGAUGUUUCAUAAAGAUACAAUAACUAGGUACAUUGUAGAAAAAUUAAAUCAAGGUUUUAGUUUUUAAACCUUAAUUUGACUCUUGUUUUCUUGUCCUAUAAUUGUUAAAGAUUACUUUGUCAUUUACAAACUAAAUGAUCAAAAUAAAAAUACGAUUGAAUUAUGUAUAACCAAGACAACAUAUUUUAUUGAUUUUAAAUAGUCACAUAAAAAGCACUCAAGAUAAGAAUUGGAAUCUCCCAUACACUGAAAGUAAGUCUAAGACCAAGUAAGAGAGGUGCCAGCUAAUCUAACACCACACCAUGAUUUACUAGUAAGUAUCAAAUAUUUAAAACUUUCCUUUGUGGCCUCAUGCUCCAUGAAUUUUACUUAUAAUAAAGUUAUUUUUUCAAAUAAUAUAUUUCUGUGUACUCUAGGGGAUACAUAAUAUAUUGUGAAAAUGUGGGCUUUAUUAGGAAAUAUUGGGCAGUUUUACACCCAUUGCAUAAUUUAGCCCAAGGACUGAAAAUCAGUGUCAUUGAUUUUUAUUUUUUCCCAGUGGAAGUAAGGUCAAUCUUAGAACACUUUUUAAGAAAUAAAGUUUAUAAUUAAUUAGAUUUUUAAAGUAUAAUUAUUUAUUGAAUCUAUGCAAUUUAUUUCACCU
RNAcentral lists this long non-coding RNA (1110 nucleotides) under Macaca mulatta (Rhesus monkey). RNAcentral describes it as "lncRNA (ENSMMUG00000054008.1)". Lineage: Eukaryota; Metazoa; Chordata; Mammalia; Primates; Cercopithecidae. The record is from RNAcentral.